GGAAUAUUGGGCAAUGGGGGGAACCCUGACCCAGCCAUGCCGCGUGAGGGAAGUAGGCCCUACGGGUCGUGAACCUCUUUUGUCGGGGGACAAGGACGCCGUCGCGAACGGUGUUUGCGGGUACCCGGCGAAUAAGCAUCGGCUAACUCCGUGCCAGCAGCCGCGGUAAUACGGAGGAUGCGAGCGUUAUCCGGAUUCAUUGGGUUUAAAGGGUGCGCAGGCGGCCCGGUAAGUCAGCGGUGAAAGUCAGGGGCCCAACCCCGGAAGUGCCGUUGAUACUGUCGGGCUGGAAUGCGGUCGAGGCGGGCGGAAUGUGGUGUGUAGCGGUGAAAUGCAUAGAUAUGCCACAGAACGCCGAUAGCGAAGGCAGCUCGCCAGGCCUGCAUUGACGCUCGGGCACGAAAGCGUGGGGAUCAAACA
RNAcentral lists this ribosomal RNA (420 nucleotides) under uncultured bacterium. Its description in RNAcentral is "bacterial SSU rRNA". It matches the Rfam family "Bacterial small subunit ribosomal RNA", at positions 358 to 774 of the family's 1533-position model. The record is from RNAcentral.